AGUGAACGCUGGCGGUAGGCCUAACACAUGCAAGUCGAACGGCAGCACAGUAAGAGCUUGCUCUUACGGGUGGCGAGUGGCGGACGGGUGAGGAAUACAUCGGAAUCUACUUUUUCGUGGGGGAUAACGUAGGGAAACUUACGCUAAUACCGCAUACGACCUACGGGUGAAAGCAGGGGAUCUUCGGACCUUGCGCGAUUGAAUGAGCCGAUGUCGGAUUAGCUAGUUGGCGGGGUAAAGGCCCACCAAGGCGACGAUCCGUAGCUGGUCUGAGAGGAUGAUCAGCCACACUGGAACUGAGACACGGUCCAGACUCCUACGGGAGGCAGCAGUGGGGAAUAUUGGUCAAUGGGCGCAAGCCUGAUCCAGCCAUACCGCGUGGGUGAAGAAGGCCUUCGGGUUGUAAAGCCCUUUUGUUGGGAAAGAAAAGCAUCAGGUUAAUACCCCGCUGUUCUGACGGUACCCAAAGAAUAAGCACCGGCUAACUUCGUG
Molecule: ribosomal RNA, 492 nt
Filed under: uncultured bacterium
Lineage: Bacteria
Description: partial 16S ribosomal RNA
Rfam family: Bacterial small subunit ribosomal RNA
Source: RNAcentral